GAUGAACGCUGGCGGCGUGCCUAAUACAUGCAAGUCGAGCGAACGGUCUAGAUGCUUGCUUCUCUGCUGUUAGCGGCGGACGGGUGAGUAACACGUGGAUAACCUACCUAUAAGACUGGGAUACCUUCGGGAAACCGGAGCUAAUACCGGAUAAUCUUAUGAACCGCAUGGUUCAAAAGUGAAAGACGGUCUUGCUGUCACUUAUAGAUGGAUCCGCGCUGCAUUAGCUAGUUGGUAAGGUAACGGCUUACCAAGGCAACGAUGCAUAGCCGACCUGAGAGGGUGAUCGGCCACACUGGAACUGAGACACGGUCCAGACUCCUACGGGAGGCAGCAGUAGGGAAUCUUCCGCAAUGGGCGAAAGCCUGACGGAGCAACGCCGCGUGAGUGAUGAAGGUCUUCGGAUCGUAAAACUCUGUUAUUAGGGAAGAACAUAUGUGUAAGUAACUGUGCACAUCUUGACGGUACCUAAUCAGAAAGCCACGGCUAACUACGUG
Molecule: ribosomal RNA, 497 nt
Filed under: uncultured bacterium
Lineage: Bacteria
Description: partial 16S ribosomal RNA
Rfam family: Bacterial small subunit ribosomal RNA
Source: RNAcentral